RNAcentral lists this transfer RNA (62 nucleotides) under Dictyoptera aurora. RNAcentral's name for it is "tRNA-His". Lineage: Eukaryota; Metazoa; Arthropoda; Insecta; Coleoptera; Lycidae. The record is from RNAcentral.
AUUUAGGUAGUUUAAAAAAAAUAUUGAUUUGUGGAGUCAAUGAUAUAGGUUUAUCUUAAAUU